GUUUCAAUAAGGAGGUUCAACCAACUCUGAGUUAAAACUUGAACUCUGAGUUGACUUACCCUGAGAUGGGAAACUCUGAGUUUUCGGUUACAGAACAGCUGAAAUGAGUUAGUUCAAUCAACUCUGAGUUGACCUACUCUGAGUUAAGCGCGUGCACCACAACUAUAAAAAGCCAUUAUCAAUGCAGCGCAGAUAUUACGAGUCACCAUGGCAACAGCGCCAGACAAAAAGAGGUCUUCAUAUUUUUCACCAGCAGAACUGGAUGUGCUUAUGCAAGCAUAUGGAGAGUACGAACAUAUAUUUUUAAAAAAAAGCAACACGGCUGCAGCGGCGAAGGACAGAGAGUUAGCUUGGGAGAAAAUAGCUGCUCGAGUCAAUGCGUGCAAUCCUGCAGGCAUUAAAAGAACAUGGCAGCAGCUGAAAAUGAAAUAUAAAAACAUAAUUCAAUCAGGUAAGGCUUGAACAUAUCAUGGUUGUAGUCUACCUGACUUUACAAACAUUUG
Long non-coding RNA from Gasterosteus aculeatus aculeatus (three-spined stickleback), 503 nucleotides. The record is from Ensembl. Lineage: Eukaryota; Metazoa; Chordata; Actinopteri; Perciformes; Gasterosteidae.